Molecule: ribosomal RNA, 995 nt
Filed under: uncultured marine bacterium
Lineage: Bacteria
Description: bacterial SSU rRNA
Rfam family: Bacterial small subunit ribosomal RNA
Source: RNAcentral
AUGCAAGUCGAACGAAGUAGCAAUACUUAGUGGCAGACGGGUGAGUAACAUGUAGGUAUCUACCCUUUGGCCUGGAAUAACACGAGGAAACUUGUGCUAAUACCGGAUAAGUCUUUACGGAGAAAGCUUUAUGCACCAUUGGAUGAGCCUGCACUUGAUUAGUUAGUUGGUGGGGUAAUGGCCCACCAAGACAUUGAUCAAUAGCUGAUUUGAGAGGAUGAUCAGCCACAUUGGGACUGAGACACGGCCCAAACUCCUACGGGAGGCAGCAGUGGGGAAUCUUGCACAAUGGAGGAAACUCUGAUGCAGCGAUGCCGCGUGAGUGAAGAAGGCCUUUGGGUUGUAAAGCUCUUUCGUCGGGGAAGAAAAUGACUGUACCCGAAUAAGAAGGUCCGGCUAACUUCGUGCCAGCAGCCGCGGUAAUACGAAGGGACCUAGCGUAGUUCGGAAUUACUGGGCUUAAAGAGUUCGUAGGUGGUUGAAAAAGUUGGUGGUGAAAUCCCAGAGCUUAACUCUGGAACUGCCAUCAAAACUUUUCAGCUAGAGUUUGAUAGAGGAAAGCAGAAUUUCUAGUGUAGAGGUGAAAUUCGUAGAUAUUAGAAAGAAUACCAAUUGCGAAGGCAGCUUUCUGGAUCAUUACUGACACUGAGGAACGAAAGCAUGGGUAGCGAAGAGGAUUAGAUACCCUCGUAGUCCAUGCCGUAACGAUGUGUGUUAGACGUUGGAAAUUUAUUUUCAGUGUCGCAGCGAAAGCGAUAAACACACCGCCUGGGGAGUACGACCGCAAGGUUAAAACUCAAAUGAAUUGACGGGGACCCGCACAAGUAGUGGAGCAUGUGGUUUAAUUCGAAGAUACGCGCAGAACCUUACCAACACUUGACAUGUUCGUCGCGACUUUAAGAGAUUAAAGUUUUCGGUUCGGCCGGACGAAACACAGGUGCUGCAUGGCUGUCGUCAGCUCGUGUCGUGAGAUGUUGGGUUAAGUCCCGCAACGA